This 776-nucleotide ribosomal RNA is filed under the name uncultured Neocallimastigales. RNAcentral's name for it is "partial large subunit ribosomal RNA". It matches the Rfam family "Eukaryotic large subunit ribosomal RNA", at positions 22 to 639 of the family's 3401-position model. Lineage: Eukaryota; Fungi; Neocallimastigomycota; Neocallimastigomycetes; Neocallimastigales. The record is from RNAcentral.
CAUAGCGACUAUCGUGGCAUAUCAAUAAGCGGAGGAAAAGAAACUAACAAGGAUUCCCUUAGUAACGGCGAGUGAAGCGGGAAGAGCUCAAAUUUGAAAUCUUCAAGGUUCUACCUUGACGAAUUGUAGUUUAUAGAAGUGUUUUCUGUUAGUAGAGUGGCAAAAGUUCUUUGGAAUAGGACAUCAUAGAGGGUGAGAAUCCCGUAUUUGGUCAUUCUUUCUAGCUUUGUGAUACACUUUCAACGAGUCGGAUUGUUUGGGAAUGCAGUCCAAAAUGGGUGGUAAAUUUCAUCUAAAGCUAAAUAUUGGCGAGAGACCGAUAGCGAACAAGUACCGUGAGGGAAAGAUGAAAAGAACUUUGAAAAGAGAGUUAAACAGUACGUGAAAUUGUCAAAAGGGAAGCGUUUGACACCAGUGUUGUUUUUCCGAAAAUCAAUUACGAAUGUUUUAUUUUUGAGAAGUUAUGACUUCAUCGGCUUGCUUCUCUCUUUAUGAAACUUUCUUAAUGCACUUUUCGGUUAACAAGUCAACAUCAAUUUCUUUUGUUGUAAAAGGGUAUGAGGAAGGUGGCUUUCUUUUCGGAGAAAGUGUUUAUAGCCUUGUACCCUCUGCAAUCGGAGAGAUUGAGGUCUGCAGCGUAGAUCCUUCGGGGUUAGAUACAUUUGUGCUAAGCUAUAGCCUUUUCAUAGACAACUUGUUGACUAUGCUCAGUCAUGUAGCUUACUCGCUUAUGCUAUUUUACCUACGCUUAGGAUGUUGACGCGCGUGUGUGCGUG